UCUACCAAGACAGGAAGUCUCUAUGGAAGUGAUGUCAGGAACAGACAGGAAGUUCCAUGUGGCACAAGGAACUAGCUGCUACCAAAGAGGUUAACCGUCUACAAGGAGACCUGUAGAGAUCGGAUGACGGCACAACUGAGGAUGGAGGAAGACCGGAGUCACGUGACUGAGAAGAUCCUAAACCUCACCCUGGAGAUCAUCUACCUGCUGACCGGAGAGAGAUUUCCUCUUCUGAAGUCAGGUGAUCAUAUGACCAUCA
Long non-coding RNA from Rana temporaria (common frog), 259 nucleotides. RefSeq lists it as uncharacterized. The record is from RefSeq and is a predicted model, not a curated record. The transcript is spliced from 3 exons. NCBI's taxonomy places the organism in Eukaryota, Metazoa, Chordata, Amphibia, Anura, Ranidae.